Molecule: ribosomal RNA, 448 nt
Filed under: uncultured bacterium
Lineage: Bacteria
Description: bacterial SSU rRNA
Rfam family: Bacterial small subunit ribosomal RNA
Source: RNAcentral
CGCUAUCACUCCUACGGGAGGCAGCAGUGGGGAAUCUUGGACAAUGGGGGCAACCCUGAUCCAGCCAUGCCGCGUGAGUGAUGAAGGCCCUAGGGUCGUAAAGCUCUUUCGCCAGAGAUGAUAAUGACAGUAUCUGGUAAAGAAACCCCGGCUAACUCCGUGCCAGCAGCCGCGGUAAUACGGAGGGGGUUAGCGUUGUUCGGAAUUACUGGGCGUAAAGCGCACGUAGGCGGAUUGGAAAGUUAGAGGUGAAAUCCCGGGGCUCAACCCCGGAACUGCCUUUAAAACUCCCAGUCUUGAGUUCGAGAGAGGUGAGUGGAAUUCCGAGUGUAGAGGUGAAAUUCGUAGAUAUUCGGAGGAACACCAGUGGCGAAGGCGGCUCACUGGCUCGAUACUGACGCUGAGGUGCGAAAGUGUGGGGAGCAAACAGGAUUAGAUACCCUGGUAG